GAUGAACGCUGACAGAAUGCUUAACACAUGCAAGUCGAUGGGGAAGUGGUGCUUGCACCAUGGCAACCAUGGCGGACGGGUGAGUAACGCGUAAGGGACUUACCUGCAGGACUGGGAUAACAGGGGGAAACUCCUGACAAGACCGGAUAAUGUCAUGGAGCUGCCUGGCUUUAUGAUGAAAGGAGACGCCUGCGGAGAGCCUUGCGUCCUAUUAGCUAGUUGGUGAGGUAAUGGCUCACCAAGGCGAAGAUAGGUAGCCGGCCUGAGAGGGUGGACGGCCACAAGGGGACUGAGAUACGGCCCUUACUCCUACGGGAGGCAGCAGUGGGGAAUAUUGGACAAUGGGGGCAACCCUGAUCCAGCAAUUCUGUGUGCACGAAGAAGGUUUUCGGAUUGUAAAGUGCUUUCAGCAGGGAAGAAGUAAGUGACGGUACCUGCAGAAGAAGCGACGGCUAAAUACGUG
Molecule: ribosomal RNA, 463 nt
Filed under: uncultured bacterium
Lineage: Bacteria
Description: partial 16S ribosomal RNA
Rfam family: Bacterial small subunit ribosomal RNA
Source: RNAcentral